Molecule: unclassified non-coding RNA, 947 nt
Filed under: Venturia canescens
Lineage: Eukaryota; Metazoa; Arthropoda; Insecta; Hymenoptera; Ichneumonidae
Description: multiple coagulation factor deficiency protein 2 homolog, transcript variant X1
Source: RNAcentral
GAUAAUCGCUCGCGCGUGCGACGAAGCUAGGAAAAUACCGGGGAAGCAGCACAAUCCAGCAUCCAGGAAAGAUCGAGGCGAGGCAACCAACUUUUCGACGCUUUAUCCUCGAUAUAUCGAUUACUCGCAGAUGCCCAAUAAUGCUGUUCGUUACAAUUAUUGUGACACUGCUCAUGGAACCUGUCUUCCCAUUCCGUGGGCCCCAUCAUCCGAGAAGCAGUGUUUUGCAUAAUCACUACGUGCCCGAACCGUCAGUGAAAAUAACUCAAAAUGAAGAGCUUUUGCAAGAUGCGACGCAUCUCGCUGAGGACAUGGGCUCGAUGGCCGAACACAUCGACAUCGUGAAUAUGAACGCUCAGGAACUGGAAUUUUAUUACUUCAAGUUUCACGAUAUUGACAAUAAUACGAAACUCGAUGGACUCGAACUUCUUCGCGCUCUUCAACACUCCCUCCACGGUGAGGAAAAUGAUGAAAAUUCAAACGAAGUCGAUCACGUGCACGCCGAUCAGGAACACGCCGUUGUCGAUGACUCGUGGAUCAUUGAACUGAUAGAUCGAGUUUUGGCUGAAGACGAUUUGGACAACGACGGUUACUUAGGAUACAUUGAAUACGUUUUAGGCAGGCAAAAAGACCAGGACGAAAAAGAGCGAAGAAAAAUAAAAUUAAAAAUCUGAGGAUAAAGCGAGUUUGAAUGAAUUUGAAUGAAUCCGAGAUCGGAGCAAGAGAUCUAUUCCGGAUUAAAUCAACGGAUCACAGGCAAUCGAACAUCGGUCACGACAAUACAUUUUUCCCAGAGGUCCCUCACUACUUGGACCUAAAAAUGAAGAAAAAAUUGAUGUAUUUUAAUCAUUUAGAGUGUGUGUCAAAAAUUGUGAGGUACAAAUAACAGUAUUUUUGUGCUAAAAAAUGAACUAUAACAAUGUUUUGUAUGGAAUUGUUGAAACUGA